UUUCUUUUUUUUCUCUUCUAAUUUUUCAAAUUUCGAAUUGAAAAGUUAAAAUCCGAAAGGAAAAAAAAAAUAUUCAAAGAAAGACGAAGGUGAAAUUUAAGAAUAUUUGCACAUUAUUAUUAUUAUUAUUAUCAAUAUUAUAAUUUAUAAUUUUAUUAUUGUAAAUGGUGGUGUAAAUUAUGAAUAUUUAAUUAAGGUGUAAAUGUGGAAUUUUAGAAAGAUGCGGGGCCAAAAAUAGUAAAAUGAAUAAAUAGGAGGGGCCAAGAAUAGCAAAUUUGGAGAUAUUGAUUUUUGAUAAAGGAAAGAAAAAAGUGUCAAUUAUUGAAAGAAAUUGGGAUAUCAAUUCCUCAUCUCAUUCAAAUCAAAUGGGACAUUACAAUAUAUUUGAUUUGGUGACAUUUUGCCAAACUUUACUUUUAUUUUUUUAUUUUUUUAAUCAUUAUUUUUCAAUUUUAAUAUAGUAAUGUAGAGAGAAAAUGUUUCUAAGUUAAGCAAUUUAUUUUUUUUAAGUGCAAAUUCUUAUUAUUACCUACCUCACAUUUCAAAAUAAUGUAAACUUAUUCAUUUCUUUUCGGCCCUACUCCUUCCUUAAGUUUGUGGUUCCCAUAUAUGAACCCUUCCACUCAUACUUUCCUCAAAAUUUAGGGUUUAAAUUUAAUGAAAAAGAAUGGAAUAAACCUUUAAUUGAUGAUUAACUAUUUUUUUUAAUGAAUUGAGAAGAAAUAAUUGAUGUUGAUGUUUAUGUGAAUCAAUCAUCAUAUUACUACUACACAUAUGAUGCCAAAUGCUAAAGGGAAAAAAAAAAGUUUACAAAUUUCUUUAAUUUUCUCUCUCCCUAAAUGUUCUUCUUUUUUCUCUCUCUCUUGAAACCAGCAAAUCCAUUGUAGUGUAUGAGGUGGCCAAAUUUCAAUAAAGAUUCUUUUUCAAACAGUAUAUAUAUUGAUUCAGAUUCUAAUUCAACUUUAAUUUAAAAUUAUUAUAAACUCAGUUCAUCAAACUCACUUCCAAAACCCACUUUAAUUAACCACAUAAUUAAUUAACUACUUUCGCCUAAUCAUAUUAUAACGGCGCAAUUAAUAAUUCAACUUAGUAUUAAUUAAAUUAUAGGUUUAUAUUUACUAUUCAUAUACUUCGAACCUUAGCACAUGCUAAUUAAUUAUUUUCUUUCAGAUAUGAACUAAUUAGAAUAAGCAUAUAUUAGAAUUUUUAUUUUUCUUUUUCUCUUGUCAAUACAUAAUUUUCUAAUCCUACAAUUAUACUUUCGGUUAGAUCUCUAACGACCUAAUUAAUUUAAUUGAAAAAAAACUUUUUUUCUAAAAACAAUGAAUUUGUGUGAAUAUGUAUAUAUAUUUCUUUUUAUUAAUGUUGAAAAAAAAAUUGAGAUAUUUUAUGUUGAAUGAGUGAACUUUAUAUUAAAAUUUUAAAGCUUAGUUUUGGCCUUUUAUUCUCAUUUGUAUUAUGUUAUGUAUUUUUGACUUUCAAAACCUAUCCGUAACCGGAAUGAAUAUUCUUAAAUCUUAAAUACAUGCAUAUAUUAAUACCUCACCAUGUUGUGUUAUGGCCUCAUACAUCCUUUUCUUAAUAUUUUUUACUUGAGAUAUGUUUUUUAAAUUAUCACAAGUUUAUUUAUUCAAUACAAUCAUUUUAAAUGAAUAAUUCCUUCUCGUGUAGAUUCAAAUUUUCAACUUUGUUGUUCGAUAAUAUACUUUUAUAUUAUUUUGGUGUAUGGUAUUCAUUUUGGUAGUCAUUUCUAACGCGACCAAUAUUAUUACCAUGUUGAGUCUCUUAUUAAUAUACUCAAUAGGCAAAUUUCAUGUGCUUUAGAUUUUUCCUUUCAAUUUGUGCAAUACAAGUUUUGGGUUCAAUUUUCUAAGACCUCUUCGUUUUUGGGUGGUUAGCUAAUUGUCCUAAGCAUAAUAUUUCCUUUUCUUUUUAAAAAUAUGGAUAAUAAAAUAAUAUUUUUAUUAUCCCCAUGUAAGGUAUAAUUUGUUUGUGAAAAAAAACUCUCAAUUUUUUAAAAUAAUUCUUUUUUGAAAACAAUACAAACAACCAAUUUGGUUGGGUUGUAUUUUUUAUAUAUAACGUUGUAUUUGUCAACCAAAAAUCUAAUCUAAUUUUUUCAAAGAUAAUAUACGUUUUUUUCUCGAACGUCAAUUUGAAUAAAUCCCAAUAAAAUAAAAUAAAAACCUUCAAUUUAAAUUUAAAUUGAAUUUGAAUUUGAAUUUAUUUUCCUUUUUAAAGCAACGAAAGUCAAAAGCAAUCCAGCCAUCAGAUUGGGUGUUUGGAAAUUUUGGAAUACUAAAAUAUAAUAUAACAAUACAUACAUACAAUAAGUAAAUAAAUAAAUAAUAUAUAUAUAUAUAUAUAUAUAUAUAUAUAAUUUUUUUUUUAUAACAAAUAAUAUUGAGUCAAAGAUUUUGUUUAAUUAAAACUAGGUUGGGAUGGGGAAAAGAAUUUUUUUCUUAGUUUGAUAAUUGAAAAUAAAAUUCAUUGUAUGUGGAUUUAUUUUUUAUAAUUGAAAGUUUUGUUUCGUUAUAUUCAUAUUUUUCGAAUUGAAAAAAUAAUUUUAAAAAGAAAAAGAAAUUUAUUGUUUUGAUUUUUUAGUUUUUGAAUGCUACAAUUAUGGGGAUGGAGGAGAUCAAGCUAAGCUAUCUUAACAGUUUAUUGUAUUGACUUAUUUUUCAAAUUGAUUUGCAAUCAAAGCCUAUAGAUAUUGAUUACUACUAUUUCCAUGUUAAAUUUUGUGAUAAAGAAAUCUUUUAUUUUUAGUUCCUAUAAUUUUCUUCUACUUUACUAUAUUUUUAGUAUUUAGACUUAACAUUUCUAUUUUUAAUAUUAAACUUUUCGUGAAAGUUUUUCCUUAAUUAAACCUAUUAAUUUUAAGACAAUUUUAGUUUCAUGAAAAUUAAAAUUAAAAAUGAGUUUCUUAUGCAUAUAAUGGAAAAUUUUAUUAGAGACUAAGUUAUGUUUAUUUAUAAACUAUAAAGACUUUUUGGAAUUGAUUUGAUAAUGUUUGUCAGAUAGGGAUUAAUUAAAAUGCUAAAAUUAUCCAACUAAAAUAUUACAAUUUUGAAAAGAUUAACAAAUUUAAUUUUUUAAAAUUUAAAUGUUUUAAAAGAUUAAUAAAAGAAAAAAUAUGAAAGUUUAUGGUAAAUGAAAUUGAUUUUCUUGUAAUCUUAUUAAUUAUUUAUGUUAAAUUUAAUAGUCAUUUUCAAUAUAGUGGUUACCCUAUCAAAUUACUAAUAUUAUGGAAACUGUCCACUAAAUCUAAAUAGAAACAAAAGGAAAAAACGUGAAAAAUUAUUACAUAUUAAGACAAUAAUAAAAUAUAUGAGAUUUCUUUUUCUUUUUCUUUUUCUUUUUCGGAUUUUUGUUCAAUUCAUUUAUUGAAAUAACUCAAUUUCCUUCCUUUUCUUCUUCAUAAUUUCUUCAAUAAUUAGAGCACUUUUUUUUUUCACAAAAUAUAUUCUUCCUUAGCUUGUUGGAUUAUAUUGAAAAAUAAUUUUUAAUAAUCUACACCUAAUUAGUUGUAGAUUCACAUGUUUCAUAUAUAUAUUAAUAUUAAAGGAAUGAAUAUUCUUAUUAAAAAUGCAACACAUAUAUUUUUAGUAGAUUUAGAUAUUAGGGUUUUCUUAGAUGUGCAGCAAAUCCCACUACUUUUUUUCUAAAAAAUAAUUUAUUAAAAAAACCUACCACUAAUAUAUAUAUGAAAAAAAAAUGAAUUUAAGUUCAAUAAAUAAAUAAAAAAUUAAAGGGCUUAUAUAUCACAUCCUUCUAAACCCUAAAUCCAAUAUCAUACAUAAAAGAGUUGAGAUUUUGGUGUAUAGUUAUUAUUCAAAGUAUUAGAUAACAUAUUUAAGACAUUAUAACAAUUCGACCACCAUAAUCUAAUCGAUAAAUUAAACUUUAAUUUAUCAAAGAUUUAUUUAAAUGUUAGUCGUUUACUAUUUACUUCGGUAUAUAACAACAUAUAUAAUAAAGUAAAAUUAAACGAUUAAAUCUUUUGUAACGACAAGAGGGUGUAGGAAUGAACCAAGAUGAAGAUGCCCUAUGAAAUACAUACAAGUAUAUAAAAGUCCAAUUUGAAUGAUAAAAGAGAAGAAUGGUUGGGGGUGAAAUAUAACAAAAACCAUGUGAAAUGUAAUAAUAAAGGUCACAGAUAUGUAGAACUUUAUAUAUAUAAUUUUCUUUGUUAUUUUUGUGUAUAUAUAAUUUUGCAAGUGUUUAUUUUGAAAGCAUGAAGAUGGGAUAUUUGUCGAGUGCAAUGCAUAGAGCAGACAUUUUUUAAUUUCUUAAAUUGUACCUACUUGUCUCUACUUUAUGUUUCUUCUUUUCUAAUAUUCCAUCAUUAAAAAUUAGAAUAUUUUUUCAUAAAGAAAAAACAUUUUUUUUUCAUUCUAAAAUAUACUUUAAAUUAUUUGUACCCUCUUAUAAAAUGUUGAUUCUAUCGUACAUUGUUUUACGUCGUGUCGUGUGGUUGUGUCCCUCGCUUAAGUUUUUGUAUUAAGGUUUCAAUUAUUGUUAAAUAAAUAUUAAGAAAGAGGUCACGUUACCAUAAAGGUGAUUUUCUUUUUUCAACUCUUUAUUUUUGUUAAAAAAUAUUGUGUAUAUAUUAAAUACAUUAGAAAAAGUGAUAUAGUGUAGUUAAUAAUACAAUAUAUGUUAGUUUAUUUUUUGUUUGUACCAAAUAUGCAUGUAAUGUAUUUUAUUGUAACUUCAUGUAUAUGUAUAGUUCGUAAUGCAUAAUAUUGCUACUAAUCAUUAAAUGUCAUUAAUACAUAGUUUAGUAUCCAUUUCUUCUUUUCGUUAUUGUAUCACAUGUCAUUAAAUGUUUAAUUGUUUUUUAUAUAUAAGUUAUUGCUUGAUAACAAUUCUAUGUGUAUUUGCACAUAAAAAGUUGGUUUUAUUUCUUUUACAUUUGUUUUCCCCUUCAUAUAUUUAACAAAACAAUUACUAUAUAAAAUCUGCAAUCGAAAAAUCCAGAAACUUGUGUCAAUUAUUGUAAUUUAUUAGAUAGAAUCGAAAGAGUUAGUAAAUAGAAUCUAAAAUUUUAUUUUUUUUUUAACUUUGUUAAUUUUAUAGUUUACAUACCCCUUUAGAUUAUUUGAUCUACACAUCUGAUGCCAUUAUAAUUUUAUAAAAGUUUUACAUAGGAAUAUAAUUAAAGAGAUUGUUUUUGUAUGUUUUAAAAAAUGUAUUUUAAGCACUAAGAGUGGUCUAAACAAAUUUCAUAUCUUAGUUAUAAAUGAAUUAAUUUAUCACAAUGAAUGAUAGAAACAUAGGCCGGUAGGGUACUUAUUCAUGAUAGAAAUUUAUUAAUAACCACAAUUCAUGUCAUAAUUAUUAUGUUGAUAGACACCUAAUAAUUGAAAGAUAUAUUACCCCAUAGUUGUGAUUGAAAUAUAUAGAUAUAUAAAGAGCUUAUCAAUGAUGUAUUGUGUCUUUCAUUGAAGUUUACAUUUGAUAGGAGCCUUUCAUAUUGACUUAAAUAUAGCAAUUAAGAUUUAGUCUUUAUCUCUUGUCUACCAUUUUUCUUCUUGUUUCCCUUCGUUUAAUUAUGAAUCUACAUUUUUACCGUAGUUUAAUUCUUUGAGAAAAAGAGUAAAUAGGUUAGAAACAAGGUAUAUGAUAAUCAUGAAGUAUAGAAAUCUUAUUACUAAACAAAUGCAAGGAUCAAUUGUUACACAUUACAUAUAAUUUUUUUACGGUUUAUUUAUAAAUGAAAUGUCAAAGUGAGCUUAAUUCAACGAUAAUUGAUAUGACUUUCUUUUUUAAAUGAAAAAUUCGAUCCACUUUUCACACUUAUUGUUACUAAAAAAACUUAUAAGAAAAGUUUUAAAAAAUUGAACAUUUUUUUAGUACAUAAUAAUUGUGGAAUGAGUAAUCGAUCUAAAAAAAAGCGAUGAUAAUUACUAUCAAACUUGAAGUUAUGUGAGAUCUACGUUGAAUCACUUACGUAUUUAGAUUCUCAAACUUAGAAAGUAAGCCAUCACUUCAACUUUGACCAAUCAUUUCUUUUAAAGAAAGCCAAAAACCAUAACAAGGUUUAAAAUCUCAACAUCAACAAAAUUGGGAAAUUGGGAGAAUUCAAUAGGGAGAGAAAUGUCUAUUAUAUUAUUUUCACAAUAAUAACUUGUUAAAAACUCUUUUUUUUAUAAUAUAAUGAAAAUAUCGAUUCACACGUCUAAGUUAUAAAAAUAUGGAGAUGGAAGCAUAGAGAUGUGUCGGGGGAUGCAAGGUACACGUGUACAUAUACAUAUAUGUAGUUAGAGGAAUGCAUAAUAUUGAGGAGGUUCCAAGUGGAGAAAGGGAGGCGGUGGAUGAAGUGGGAAUGGGACCGAGAGAGAGAGGGAAACAGAUCCAUGUGGGAGUGGGGGCCAAGUUACAGGUGACAAACUUACAUCCACACUCUCAAAAUUCCAAGUUGGGAUUGAAUGGAAAUGGGAAGUGUUUAUUUUAGAAGAGGAAGGGCAUAUUAGUCUUAUCUUAUGGUGCAAAUAUGUAUUAAAAAGAGAUCAAAGGAAGAAAGAAAAAAGAAAGAAAAGAAAGAAUUUAGGUGGGACAUUGCAUAUUGAGGGCUUUUUGGGAUGUGGACAGACAUACGCACACGGAGACGCCUUUUCCAUCUUUUUCUUCCCACCUCCUAAAUUAUAAUAAAGAGGGUUUUGGAAGACAUGGGAGGGAGAGGUUUAGUAUUUGCUUCCUCUUACACCCAAACAGCUUUUUCUUGGUCCCUGUUUCACUCUCUCUUUGCCUUCUCUUUUUAAAUAAAACAAACUCUAUCUAUAUAAUAUUGUUGAUGCUUCACAAUCUUUAUAAAAUAUAACAAAAUAUCAUCAUCUAUAUUUAGUGUACUCAUCUAUGAUUUUGUGCAAACAAAUUUCACAAGUAUUCAAAACAAGCAAACACAAAUGUAGUUGAGUUAUAAUGGAUGCUUGGGACCAUUAGUUGUGUACAAGGGCCUCACAGGAGGGCAUGGAGAAACUUUGAUAGAUGGUUAAGUAUUAAGAUUAUGGAGUUAAUCCACUGUGGCUACGUGUUUAAGACUUCUUAUCAUAUCAAUACAAAUGAAUACACUUGUAAAAAGAAUGAUUAUACAUAGAGAGAGAGAGAGAGAGAGAGAGAGAGAAAGAGAGGGAGAGAGGGAGACAGACUGAAAAUGUAUGUGAUGUGGUGAUGUAUUUAUGUUUGAAUGUGGUGAGGAGGAGGUUUUGAUGAGGAUGGGGGGAACAAUUUCCUGGUCUCACUUCAACCUCUCAACAAUAUACGAAUUGUUUAGCAUUUGUGUUUUAUUAUGUUCUCUAUUCAUUUAUUUAUUCAAUUAAAAACAAUCAAAGAAUGUGAAUGAUGUCAGACUUGUCCUAAUGUUUCUAUAUCUUAGGUUAUACGGUUUCAUAAAAUUACUUUCUCCAUAUUCAAAUUUAUCAUAUAUACCACAUUUUUUGAAAAAAAAAUUAAAAUUAUCAUAAGAGAAAUAUAAAAUAAUCAACAUUUCAUUUUGGUAUCAUAUAUAUAUAUAUAUAUAUAUAUAUAUAUAUAUAUAUAUAUAUUCUGCUUUAGUUUAUAACACUAAUAUAAUUCCACGACGUGUUUUCUUAAUUAUUUUUGUUGUUUUUUAAAAUUUAAACAAAAGUUUAGAAAUUAGUAAAAUAAAAAACAUUAAGUGACAUUUAACUAAGAAUUCAAAUAUGUGUAAGCAUGAGCUAUAAUUACACACUCAUGCUUUAAAAGUUUGAAUAAAAAAAAUAUGAAAGAUAGAUAUUGCUUAUAUCGUAAUGUUGAGGUUAGAGAUUUCAUCUUUUCACUUCACAUUGUUUCGUAUUUAAAAUUUAAUUAAAAUUUAGGGUUUAGGAUGAAAUGUAUAUAUAUAGUUAAUUAGGAUGAAUAUGAUAGUUAAUAAAACAAAUCUUAAAUUUUUAUUUCCACCUUUUCAAAAUUAAUCUUAAAAUUAAAACACAAGCUAUACUAUGAAUUAUAAUAAUUUCUUUUAUUAUUAAUUUUUAGGCUUUUCCCCCCUCAAAAUUCACAUCAAAAUGAGAUUUAGGACAUUCAUCUUACUUGGAAAAUAAUAUUAUAUGCUUUGACUUUUGAUUGGAAAUUACAAAGUGAUAAAAAAAAGAUAUAAUUUUGAAAGAGAAUAUAUAUUUUUUUUUCUUAUAAAGAAAUAAUAAGAAAAAAUAGGAAAAGUUGUAUGUUUUUUUUUUCUUUCCCUUUUUUCAUGGAAGAAAGGAAAGGGCAAAAGAAAGGGUUCUUGGGACAAGAAAAGCAAAGCCAACCUGGUGAAAACGGCAACUCUAUAUGUAUAUAUUAUUUGUAUUAUAAAUCCAUUGGAUUUGGCCUUUUCAAACUACAAUAAUACACCAAUAUAAUGUUAUCUUCUUUCCCUUCUAGAUUAUUGGGUUUCAUCCAAAACAACUUUUAAUAUUAACUUCUUCCAAAAUAUUAUUAUUUAUCUCGUUCUUCUUCAAAAUCUUCAUCGAUUCAAAAACUUUAAAUGUAUACUUAAUCAAUUUAUUACGUUAUUCUACUCGAUAAUAUACCAAAAACAUUUUUUUAGCAGGUGAAGAUCUCACAUAUAGAAUGUGUAUGAAUUUUUUUUGCUUUGAUAAUGGUUUUCCAAGUAAUUGAGAUAAAAUAUCCUUUUUUUUUUUAACAAACCAUUCAUUUUGCUAAGGGUAUAGUCAUUGUAAAACCCUUCUCAAAUAUAGUUUAAAUAAAAUAGAAAUGUUUUGCUGUUUAUUUAUGGACAAAUAAAUUUGAGAUAAAACACAAAUAUGUUUUCACAAUAUGGGGAAAGGGGAAAUUUCAAAAAAACUUUUGUUUUAGAUAUGUUUUCUUUAAAAAAAAAAACAUUAAAUCUAAUUUUGUGGACGUGAGUUAGGAAAAAUUGAACCACACGUUAAAAACGUCUCAAUUCAACUUUAUCCCUCCCAUUUUUCACUUUUAUACAAAUGUGUAAGACUUUUAAUGUCAUUCGACUUUAUUUUUCUAUGAAAUAUCACAAUCAAUGCUACUAAAGCAAACACGAUAGUAAAAGUUUUGAAUUUAUCAAAAUUAAGUUUAUGAUCACAUUGUCGAUAUUUUCUUAAAAGUAUAUAACAUCACAUUCUAGUUGACUUUUAUCUACAUUUUUCUCCCAUUCUUCAUUUUCUUGGUAGUUCAUACAUUAAAUUUAAGAUUUAACAAAAUUACAUAGACUAAAGUUGAAUAUUUUAGAAAAAAAAAUUAAACAAACAAUCAACAUGUUAUUUUAAUUUAAAAUUAAAAUUAUAUUAAUAAGGAAAGAAAAGAAUAUCUUCAAUGAACACCAAGUAGAAAAAUAGUGAAAGCCCAAAAAUAAUAAUUCAUGUGUGCUUUUUCAAUCAUGGAAAAGUAAAUCAUCUCUUAAACCUUCACUUUUUUUUUUCGUUUGCUUUAGAAGAAAAAAUAUUUCUAAGUUCCUAUCAUAUAUAUAUAUGCACUAAUUUCCCCACCACAAAUGAUAGCAAAAAUUGCUUCUUCUCUCUCACUUUAAAGUACUUGUGGUCUACCAAUUGGCUACUUGGGUCAAUAUCAUUGGGAAAUGCAUUUGUGAAUUUGAAAGAGGUGAAGAGGGAAAAAAAAUAUGGUCAAGUUCAAAGCUUUAUAGGGUUCAUGUGGAUAAAGAUAUAUAGAUAUCAACAUUCAUCUAAUUAUAACUUCUAAUUAACUUUUUCUAUAGAUUCUUCUCUUUCAACCUUUUUGGUUGCUUUGUAUUAUUCAAUUAUUUCCUUUUCUUUCUUUUGGUUCUUUAUCAUCACUCAUUUCUUUUUCAUUAUUAGGAAAUCAAAGAGAAAAAAAAAAUAAUUACAAAGAUAACAAAAAGAAAGAAUAAAGUAAACUUAUUUUCGAAAUAACAUCCGUGCAUGUAAAAGUAAAAUUUAGUUAUAUACACGUAAGAAGUUGACCUUGUCUUUAAAAUUAUCAACAUUUUGUUUAACAUGUUUUGUAUCAUGUCAAGCAACUUGUUUCUUGCCAUGUUGAUUAUUCUAUCUCAAGAAUUUUUUUUUCUUUUUGUGUAGAGAGAAUAGUUUUUUUUUUUUUUCUUCCUUUGAAGAUCUUCCAAAGGUUGAGGCAUUUUUGUUGCGGAUUUUGUUUGUUUUUAGGGUAGCCAAUUGAAUGUAAGAAAUGAGUAUGUGUUAAGGUUUUAGAGCAUGUGUUCAAGAAAUAUAUGUUUGUAUGUAUGGUUUAUAAUUUUUGUGUUACUCAAAUGUUGAGGAAGUUACCCUAACUUUAUUGUGGAUGUGAGAGAAGUUCGAACUUAGUAGAGCUUAAGUUAAAACCGAAGAGUAGGCCGCAGUGAGUGAAUCAAUUUCUUUUCACCUCGUAUGCAACGACCUCUCUAGGUCUCAGAGUAGAUGACUUUACACCGAGCUGGAUUACCAAUCCUUAUGUCCAUAUUACGACAUUCUAUACAUUAAUUAUUUUGUUGAAUCAUCAAUCUUGCUUUGACUUGUGUGUAUGUUAUUGUUGUCGAAUAUCGAGCGAAGUAUCAAAAAAGUCCGCUCUUUUGAAUAUUAAAAAGAAAAAAUCAAAAUCAAAAUAUUGAAAAAAGUGAGGAAAUAAUGCAUUUUUAUUAAAAAAGAAAAAAAAGUGUAAAAAAUAUAUUUGACAUCUUUGGACACCAAUUUCGUCUUUAAUUUUCUAAAAUGGGUUUGGGCCACAUACCCUAAGCCCAACCUUUGAUUUGCCUUUUUGAAAAUCAAAGUCUAAUUAGAAAAUAAAAAUAAAACGUAUUAAAUCUUAUUUUCUCACUCCAAUUCAAAAUUCACAAAACCCAUAUUAAAUGUAUUUUUUUCAUAAUAAAUAAACUCUCUUUCCAUCAUUAAAUGAAAGUUUUGUAAAUAAAAAAAUAUAUUAAAAUUGGAUAUAAACAAAUACAAAAAAGAGUUUAAAAUGUCCAAAAUUAACCUAAAAAAAUUAAUUUUUUAUUCAAAGACAUUUAUGAAAUAUAUGACCCAAAAUAAUACUUUCAUGUAAAAAUUAAUCACUUUUUUUUUUUAAUGAAAAUCGUCAAAAGUUCUAAAAUAAAUGUAUUAUAUAUGCUAUUGAUGUAUAAAAAUUAAAGUCUAAUAAAGUAUUAUUUACCACUACAAUAAAAGAUUAAGAUUUUUAAACUCAUUACAAUAAUCUAUUAAUUAGUACUCUCUGGAUAUGUAACUAAUUAAAAGUUGAGAACUUAAGAUAUAUCCAUAAAUAUGACUGUGAAUCUAGUUGGAAAGCAAGAACAAAAUAUAAAAAAUAAUUUUGAAAACAACUUUUUAGAAUUUCUUUUAGAGCCAAUGCUUCUCGAGUUAGAUGGAAGACUUCGGACAUGUUUGGUAGAGAAUUUGGAAACAAAAAUUUGAACACAAUAAAUUUAUAAAAACAAAGUUGUAUUUUAUGUUUUCAAGAUAUACAUUUGGUAGAAUAUUCAAAUUUGGAUUCUAAUUUUAAAAGAAGGUUUAGAUGUGUUUCAUAUUAUAUAUUUUUUAAAUCAUAAAACUAGUCUUACUUAUCUACUAAGAUUUAGUUGACAAAAAAUUAUUGUUAAUUUAUUUAUGAAUAUAAUUUAUAUUUAAAAUGUUGGAUACUUGAGAAUGUUUUCAUUAUUAUAGUUUAGAGGUUAAAUUAUGUUAAACUUUAAUUGAUUUUUUUGUACUUUUAGCCAUUAAAUAUUUUAAUUAGUACACAAUUGUGUAGAUAAUUGAACUCUUCGAUCUUAAUCAUACCAAUAGUCCAAUACAAUUGAGCCUAACUUUUUUGGAUUAUUGAAAAAUAUUAUAAAACCAAUGCAAAGAUCAUAAUAAUGGAGGGAGAUCAAAUCCUCUUUAUCCUCUUUUCUAGAGUGAUCAUAUCACCAACCCACUUAGUUUCUCUCCUUAUUUUACUUUAUACAUGAUCUUAGUCUCUAGUUCACUUCACAAACAAAAUUAAUAAGCUAGAAUUAUUAUUAAUUAACCAUUUAGGUGCAUUCACUAACUAAUCCACUUAGUUUUUUAAAUAAUAAUUAUGUAACCAAGUUGAAAUUUCUCUAAGGUUGGCACUAGUCAUAGCAUAAACCAUUAUGGGGUGCUUAUCUUUAAAAUGUGAUCAUUUUCCCACCAUUACAUAGAAAAUGGGGAACUUAAAUAUUGUUUGUGUCUCAAAAGAGAUCAAUUAGAAGAACAUGCAUAAAUGGCGAUAUUGUUAGAAAUAUAAUAUUAGUGUGAAUGAUCUCAUUGGAAAAACAAAAUAAAAUAAAAUUUAAACUUUAAUCCACUUGUUAAUAUAAUCAUUUUUGAAUUUGCAUAUGAUAAAAUAGGUUAAAAUUGCUAGUAAAAGACUAGAAAAGUUAAGUCCAAGAUAAAGCAGACUACAAGGACCUAUAUUUGUUGAGUUAAUUAACCUUAUACUAUUUAGGAUUAGAUGUGUAAUUUAGGGCAUGUUUGGUAAUUUAUUUGGUUUUUUUUAAUUGAUUUUUAAAAAACAAACGCUGUGUUUGGUAAUUGGUUUAGAAAGGAAAAUUGAAAAUGAAAAAAAAAAAGAUUUAUUUUUGUCUUUAAUAAACAAAAAAUUUAGAAAGAAAAAAGUAUUAUUAAGUGUUAGUUCUAAAGUGCACUUAUUGCAAUUAUCUUAAAAAAAAUUAAAAAUCAAAUUUACACUCGAAUUAUUUUUUUAAUCUCUAGAAUCACUACUUCGAAUGAAAUGAAAUGAAAUGGUCUAAAUCUUAAAACAAUGAUAAUAAAUAAACAACUAGCAAACAAACUAAUGGAGAUACAAAGCAGUGUAUAUCUAACUUCACUUUUUUGCAUGUGCACCAUCUUAACCACUAAGAACAACACACUCCCUGUCUCUAUAUAAGGAGAUCAAUGGAUACAUUCUAAGGCAUCCCUUUUCCAAUGGCUAUCUCUAAAACUUUAUCUUUUGGUUUCCUUUUGCUGGUGAGUUUGGGCUUAGCUUCGGCGGCCCGAUCUCUUCUUUCUUACGAUAUUCCUCCUCAUCGAUCUGGAUACGAUAAUUAUGAUCAUCCUGUAGUUAACCCUAAAGUAGGAUACGAACAUGACCGUCGUGAUGGAUACUACCAUGACCGUGACCAUCAUGAUGCACCUUAUGGUGGUGGUGCUGGUGGAGGAUAUGGAGCUGGAGCUGGAGCUGGCUCAUCUCUUGGAGGCUCUGGAUAUGGAAGUGGAGGAGGUGGUGGUUCUGGAUAUGGAGGUGUAGGAAACCACGAGGUUGGUUAUGGUAGUGGUGGAGGGGGUGGAUAUGGAGCUGGAGUUGGCUCUGACCUUGGUGGUAGCGGAUACGGAAGCGGUGGUGGUGGAGGCAGUGGAGGAGGAUACGGUGAUUUAGGAGGACGUGGAAAAGGGUACGGUAGCGGUGGAGGUGGAGGAAGUGGAUAUGGAGGUAGAGGAGACCAUGGAGUUGGUUAUGGAAGUGGUGGAGGUGGAGGAUAUGGAAGUGGAGUAGGUGGUGGUGCAGGAGUGGUAGACCAUGGUGUAGGUUAUGGGAGUGGAGGAGGAGGUGGGGCUGGUAGUGGUUAUGGUGGUUCCAAAGGAUAUGGAGGUGGAAGCGGCGGCGGUGGGGGAGCCGGUUAUGGUGGUGGAGCACAUGGAAGUGGAUAUGGAAGUGGUGGUGGAGCUGGAAGUGGUGAAGAAGGAGGAUAUGAUGGUGGAUAUGCACCGUAAACAAAGAAAAGAAAAGAAAAAGCUCAAAGUUUUAUGGCUAAAAUGAGAAUGCUUACCCUAAUAUCAUCAAUGUGUGUGUGUGUUAGCAAAAAAAAAAAAUAAAAGAAUUUGGGUAAGAAAUGUUAUAUUAAUUAUCUUUGAGCUUUUAAGUAAUUUGAAUGUAAUAUAAUAUAUAUAUAAAAAAAGCUAAUCCAUGUGUUCCAAAGUGAACCAACAU
Molecule: long non-coding RNA, 13881 nt
Filed under: Cucumis sativus (cucumber)
Lineage: Eukaryota; Viridiplantae; Streptophyta; Magnoliopsida; Cucurbitales; Cucurbitaceae
Description: long non-coding RNA (CSAT_LNC000826)
Source: RNAcentral